GACGAACGCUGGCGGCGUGCUUAACACAUGCAAGUCGAACGGUAAGGCCCUUCGGGGUACACGAGUGGCGAACGGGUGAGUAACACGUGGGUGAUCUGCCCUGGAAUUCGGGAUAAGGCUGGGAAACUGGGUGUAAUACCGGAUAGGACUACGGACUGAAUGGGCUGGGGUGGAAAGCGUUUGCGGUGUGGGAUGGGCCCGCGGCCGGUCAGCUUGUGGGUGGAGUAAUGGCCUACCAAGGCGACGACGGGUAGCCGGCCUGAGAGGGUGACCGGCCACACUGGGACUGAGAUACGGCCCAGACUCCUACGGGAGGCAGCAGUGGGGAAUAUGACACAAUGGGCGCAAGCCUGAUGCAGCGACGCCGCGUGAGGGAUGACGACCUUCGGGUUGUAAACCUCUUUCAGCAUCGACGAAGCGAAAGUGACGGUAGGUGCGGAAGAAGGACCGGCCAACUACGUGCCAGCCGCCGCAGUAA
Molecule: ribosomal RNA, 478 nt
Filed under: uncultured bacterium
Lineage: Bacteria
Description: partial 16S ribosomal RNA
Rfam family: Bacterial small subunit ribosomal RNA
Source: RNAcentral